CCUACGUGAUGCUGCAGUGGGGAAUAUUGGACAAUGGGCGAAAGCCUGAUCCAGCCAUGCCGCGUGUGUGAAGAAGGCCUUCGGGUUGUAAAGCACUUUCAGUGGGGAAGAAAGCCUUGGGGCUAAUACCCUCGAGGAAGGACAUCACCCACAGAAGAAGCACCGGCUAACUCCGUGCCAGCAGCCGCGGUAAUACGGAGGGUGCGAGCGUUAAUCGGAAUUACUGGGCGUAAAGCGCGCGUAGGCGGUCUGAUAAGCCGGUUGUGAAAGCCCCGGGCUCAACCUGGGAACGGCAUCCGGAACUGUCAGGCUAGAGUGCAGGAGAGGAAGGUAGAAUUCCCGGUGUAGCGGUGAAAUGCGUAGAGAUCGGGAGGAAUACCAGUGGCGAAGGCGGCCUUCUGGACUGACACUGACGCUGAGGUGCGAAAGCGUGGGUAGCAAACAGGAUUAGAUACCCCGGUAGUC
Molecule: ribosomal RNA, 465 nt
Filed under: Vreelandella stevensii
Lineage: Bacteria; Pseudomonadati; Pseudomonadota; Gammaproteobacteria; Oceanospirillales; Halomonadaceae
Description: partial 16S ribosomal RNA
Rfam family: Bacterial small subunit ribosomal RNA
Source: RNAcentral